UGGGGAAUAUUGCACAAUGGGCGCAAGCCUGAUGCAGCCAUGCCGCGUGUGUGAAGAAGGCCUCGGUUGUAAAGCACUUCAGCGAGGAGGAAGGUGGUGAACUUAAUACGUUCAUCAAUUGACGUUACUCGCAGAAGAAGCACCGGCUAACUCCGUGCCAGCAGCCGCGGUAAUACGGAGGGUGCAAGCGUUAAUCGGAAUUACUGGGCGUAAAAGCGCACGCAGGCGGUUUGUUAAGUCAGAUGUGAAAUCCCCGGCUCAACUGGGAACUGCAAUUGAAACUGGACAAGCUUAGAAGUCUGCGAUAGAGGGGGGUAGAAUUCCAGGUGGGUAGCAGGUGCAAAUGCGUAGAGAUCGUGGAAGGAAUACCGGUGGCGAAGGCGG
RNAcentral lists this ribosomal RNA (384 nucleotides) under uncultured bacterium. RNAcentral's name for it is "partial 16S ribosomal RNA". It matches the Rfam family "Bacterial small subunit ribosomal RNA", at positions 355 to 724 of the family's 1533-position model. The record is from RNAcentral.